GUUUGUGUUGCUCAGUGGUAGAGUGCAUGCUUUGUAUGUAUGAUGUCCUGGGUUCAAUCCCCAGCUUCUACC
Molecule: non-coding RNA, 72 nt
Organism: Dallia pectoralis (Alaska blackfish)
Lineage: Eukaryota; Metazoa; Chordata; Actinopteri; Esociformes; Umbridae
Source: the annotation of a GenBank genome assembly